RNAcentral lists this ribosomal RNA (356 nucleotides) under uncultured Thermus sp. RNAcentral describes it as "bacterial SSU rRNA". It matches the Rfam family "Bacterial small subunit ribosomal RNA", at positions 1026 to 1382 of the family's 1533-position model. Lineage: Bacteria; Thermotogati; Deinococcota; Deinococci; Thermales; Thermaceae. The record is from RNAcentral.
ACAUCAGCACAGGUGCUGCAUGGCCGUCGUCAGCUCGUGCCGUGAGGUGUUGGGUUAAGUCCCGCAACGAGCGCAACCCCCGCCGUUAGUUGCCAGCGGUUCGGCCGGGCACUCUAACGGGACUGCCCGCGAAAGCGGGAGGAAGGAGGGGACGACGUCUGGUCAGCAUGGCCCUUACGGCCUGGGCGACACACGUGCUACAAUGCCCACUACAAAGCGAGGCCACCCGGCAACGGGGAGCUAAUCGCAAAAAGGUGGGCCCAGUUCGGAUUGGGGUCUGCAACCCGACCCCAUGAAGCCGGAAUCGCUAGUAAUCGCGGAUCAGCCAUGCCGCGGUGAAUACGUUCCCGGGCCUU